GCCUUCGGCAGCUCCUGCAGGGGUCGUGUUACCGCGAAAUAUGCGAUCGGACAUCGAACCCUGUAGGGGCUGCCGCAGGC
This 80-nucleotide unclassified non-coding RNA is filed under the name Pseudomonas helmanticensis. Lineage: Bacteria; Pseudomonadati; Pseudomonadota; Gammaproteobacteria; Pseudomonadales; Pseudomonadaceae. The record is from RNAcentral.